UCAAAAGUAAGAGAAGAAACAAAGCAAGAAGAUACAAAGUAUCAUAGAGUGUUUGAUGCAGAAAGGUAUCACGGGAAAUUUUGAGAGUGGGGAAAGUUCAGAUUCUGAUGAACAAGCUUCUUGAUUGGAGAUGAACGAAUUUGGUAACCUGCAUAGCAAGAGUUUUUUGUUGAUAUUACCAGACAUCCAUCACAGUGUAGUUGUACUUUUUGUUGAUAUUACCAAACAUGUAUUUUGACUAUGUUGUUGUGGGUUAUGAUUAUAUUAUGAUGGAUCUUAUCUUUUUGUUGAUAUUUUAUUGAAUAGAUUAAAAUGAACAGGUUUUUGUUGAUAUUACCAAAUGAACAGGUUUUUGUAAUGAUUUGUAAUGGAUAUUAUAUUCAGCAGGUUAUUAAAAUGCACAAGUUAUUUUGA
This is a non-coding RNA of Camellia sinensis, 414 nucleotides long. The record is from RefSeq and is a predicted model, not a curated record. Lineage: Eukaryota; Viridiplantae; Streptophyta; Magnoliopsida; Ericales; Theaceae.